AUUGAACGCUGGCGGCAGGCCUAACACAUGCAAGUCGAGCGGAGCGACGGACGGGUGAGUAAUGCCUAGGAAUCUGCCUGGUAGUGGGGGAUAACGUCCGGAAACGGGCGCUAAUACCGCAUACUAUCAGACGAGCAUAGUUCGGAUUAGCUAGUUGGUGGGGUAAAGGCCUACCAAGGCGACGAUCCGUAACUGGUCUGAGAGGAUGAUCAGUCACACUGGAACUGAGACACGGUCCAGACUCCUACGGGAGGCAGCAGUGGGGAAUAUUGGACAAUGGGCGAAAGCCUGAUGCAGCCAUGCCGCGUGUGUGAAGAAGGUCUUCGGAUUGUAAAGCACUUUAAGUUGGGAGGAGUUACCAGCAGAAUAAGCGCCGGCUAACUGCGUGCCAGCCGCCGCGGUAAUAC
This 407-nucleotide ribosomal RNA is filed under the name uncultured bacterium. RNAcentral's name for it is "partial 16S ribosomal RNA". It matches the Rfam family "Bacterial small subunit ribosomal RNA", at positions 30 to 526 of the family's 1533-position model. The record is from RNAcentral.